GACGAACGCUGGCGGCGUGCUUAACACAUGCAAGUCGAACGAAAAGAGGGAAAGAGCUUGCUCUUUCCGGAAUUGAGUGGCAAACGGGUGAGUAACACGUAAACAACCUGCCUUCAGGAUGGGGACAACAGACGGAAACGACUGCUAAUACCGAAUAAGUUCCAAGAGCCGCAUGGCCCAUGGAAGAAAAGGUGGCCUCUACCUGUAAGCUAUCGCCUGAAGAGGGGUUUGCGUCUGAUUAGCUGGUUGGAGGGGUAACGGCCCACCAAGGCGACGAUCAGUAGCCGGUCUGAGAGGAUGAACGGCCACACUGGAGCUGAGACACGGUCCAGACUCCUACGGGAGGCAGCAGUGGGGAAUCUUCCGCAAUGGGCGAAAGCCUGACGGAGCAACGCCGCGUGAGUGAUGACGGCCUUCGGGUUGUAAAACUCUGUGAUCCGGGACGAAAAGGCAGAGUGCGAAGAACAAACUGCAUUGACGGUACCGGAAAAGCAAGCCACGGCUAACUACGUG
Molecule: ribosomal RNA, 513 nt
Filed under: uncultured bacterium
Lineage: Bacteria
Description: partial 16S ribosomal RNA
Rfam family: Bacterial small subunit ribosomal RNA
Source: RNAcentral